CUAGUGAAUGUCUGAAAGUCUUCGAGCAAAUUAUUGAAGGGGGCGAUGGUGUUACUAUGUGGCCCAUGGGCUGAGAAUGGUGGCCGCAGUCACACUGGGAGCUACUCUUAGACCAUUCUUAGACCAUUCUUUUCUAUUUCAUUAACAGUCGCUGCUCCUGCUGCUCAGAGCGCAGGUUCAGCAGCGGUUGGAGAACUCUGGUGACACCUGGGGUGGAGCUGCAAGUUCCUCCAAGUUGAUUUUGUUCAACCUAAGUGAGAACUCAAACGACCAGGAUGAGUCUCACCAGCAGCAGUUGCAACGGCCACUCACCCGGUUGAACAAAUUGAACGUGAACCUUGAAUCUCUGCUGUUAAUGUGUCUGUGUGUGUCCCCUGUGCAACAGCCUGGUGGGCAAUGGCAUUGGCAAAGAAGGCGUCAGACGACUGUCCGAGGCUCUCCUCAAGAACUCCACCCUGCAGGAUCUCUGGCUCGGGGAGAACUCCCUGACGGACGAGGAGGCCCUCAUCCUCGCCGACGCCAUCCGUGGAAAAAUGCACCUCGAGCAGCUGUGGUUGAACAAAAAUAAAUUUACCGUGCUCGGCGCCGAGGCCAUCGCUGCUGCCCUCAAAGACAACACCUGCUUGAAGUGUGUCGUGCUGAGGGAUAAUGACAUCCCUUACGACGAAUACGUGAA
Molecule: non-coding RNA, 676 nt
Organism: Petromyzon marinus (sea lamprey)
Lineage: Eukaryota; Metazoa; Chordata; Hyperoartia; Petromyzontiformes; Petromyzontidae
Source: RefSeq, a predicted model, not a curated record